AUUGAACGCUGGCGGCAUGUCUUACACAUGCAAGUCGAACGGCAGCGGGGGAGAAGCUUGCUUUUCCUGCCGGCGAGUGGCGAACGGGUGAGUAAUACAUCGGAACGUGCCCUGUAGUGGGGGAUAACUAGUCGAAAGAUUAGCUAAUACCGCAUACGACCUGAGGGUGAAAGUGGGGGACCGUAAGGCCUCAUGCUAUAGGAGCGGCCGAUGUCUGAUUAGCUAGUUGGUGGGGUAAAGGCCUACCAAGGCGACGAUCAGUAGCUGGUCUGAGAGGACGAUCAGCCACACUGGGACUGAGACACGGCCCAGACUCCUACGGGAGGCAGCAGUGGGGAAUUUUGGACAAUGGGCGAAAGCCUGAUCCAGCAAUGCCGCGUGUGUGAAGAAGGCCUUCGGGUUGUAAAGCACUUUUGUCCGGAAAGAAAUGGCUCUGGUUAAUACCUGGGGUCGAUGACGGUACCGGAAGAAUAAGGACCGGCUAACUACGUGCCAGCAGCCGCCGUAA
RNAcentral lists this ribosomal RNA (508 nucleotides) under uncultured bacterium. RNAcentral describes it as "partial 16S ribosomal RNA". It matches the Rfam family "Bacterial small subunit ribosomal RNA", at positions 30 to 523 of the family's 1533-position model. The record is from RNAcentral.